Molecule: ribosomal RNA, 253 nt
Filed under: uncultured bacterium
Lineage: Bacteria
Description: partial 16S ribosomal RNA
Rfam family: Bacterial small subunit ribosomal RNA
Source: RNAcentral
UACGAGGGGAGCUAGCGUUAUUCGGAAUUACUGGGCGUAAAGCGCACGUAGGCGGCUUUGUAAGUAAGAGGUGAAAGCCUGGAGCUCAACUCCAGAACUGCCUUUUAGACUGCAUCGCUUGAAUCCAGGAGAGGUGAGUGGAAUUCCGAGUGUAGAGGUGAAAUUCGUAGAUAUUCGGAAGAACACCAGUGGCGAAGGCGGCUCACUGGACUGGUAUUGACGCUGAGGUGCGAGAGCGUGGGGAGCAAACAGG